AGCAUCCCCGUAUUUUCCGGGCGCUUGUAAUUAUUCCCCCGGCACUUUGUCUCCCAACACAAGCGUCUGAGUCACAGAGGAUGCUCCCCCCUCGCCGCCCCGUGUUCCUGGCUCCGGCUCCUCUCCCACGCCCCCGGGGCCCCUCGCCCCGCGGCGCCCCUCCGCGCGCCCGGCCCCCGGAGCCCACCUUGAAGCUGCUUGAAGCGCCCCUCCAGCACGCUGGCGUACUGAGCCGGGUUGAUGAAGGCAGCCGGCGAGAGCAGGAGGCCCCCGGGGUUCUGAGACCCUUCCACAGCCUCGUAGUAAAACUCGCCGGCCCCGUUCAGGCCGUGCCCGUGCGCCCUGCUCCCUCCGUGCCCGUUCAUGUUGCUGCUGCCUCUCGCUCGCCCGGGGCCCAGAGUCCAUGCUGUGCCCGCGCCGGGGCGGGGCGCCGAGGGUCCGCUCCCCCUCGAGCCUGGGAUCGCGCGAGGCUGGGGUCCCCGGGGGGUGGGGCAGGGGGUGUGCCUCAAGGACUGUGGAAGUUUCGAGGAGUGGGAAGAAGGAAGCACGGGAUGUCUGCGCCCCCGAGCUCCGGGACCUGUCGGCAGAGCACACCUGGCCGCGGCGAGAGGAGACGCAGGCAGCUCCAGACAAACAGAAACAGUGAUAUGAAUAUUUCACAAGCGAGCGUGUGGACCUAACCAGAAGGACGGGGAGGCCCAGGAGAAAAUCAUAAGGGGUCCCCAGAAGCAGCGGCCACCACAUGGAGCUCCUCCGGCUGGUGCUGGGCUGGCUGAAAAGAAUUACCCGGAGAGCUUAAAAAUCCUGAUCCCUGGACCAUAGGUCAAAAGAUUAUAAUUCAGUGUGUCCAGAAAGGGGUUUGAGAGCAUAUAUCUGUGAAAACAUCCCUGGGUGAUCCUGUAAAAAGUGUGGCCAAGUUUGGGAAUCAUCUCCCUCAGUGUCUCCCUUCUUCCAGGAGGCCACCCCACCCAUGCUGGGAGCACUACUUCUCGGGAAGGAGUAGCUGUGACCUCUCCCACUGCACUGGGCUGGGAGGCCAGCAGGUCUGCUCUGCUCUCCUGACGGCCAAAGGUUGUGAUUGCUGUUUUGCGACAUAGUGGAGACGAAGGUCUCCAGAGCCUCAGGUCUCCAGAGCCUCAGGCCAGAGAGGGACAGCGGGCAGGGGGCUGAAGGUGGUGAUGGCCAUCAGCGUGGCUCAGGACAGUGGUGUGUACACCAGGGCUAUCAAUGCAGGAGGCAGGCCUGGGACCCCUUGGGCAAUAGCGAGCAUAAACCCGAGUUCUUUCAUUCCUGGUUCCACAAACUGUUCUGAGCCCCUUCUCCCCACAGGAUAGCCUCCUAUAUACACUGUAAGCGAUUUGAGAUGAAAAGACCCAGAUCUGCUUUCAGGCCAAGAUGUAUCUAUAAUACACCAGGAAGACUGACGCACUGCUUGUAAGUGUGGAUAAGGAGCCCAGGAGUUCAAAGGAGGACACAGUAUGGUUCUCUCCCCCUUUCCCCUUUUGUUUGUGACAGAGAAUACUUAAUAGGUGCUCGAUGAAUGUCAGCUGUGACAUGUGUCCUCACCAUUUACAUGCAUCUCACCUCAUUGCAACCCUCUGUGGGGCAAGGGUCCAUUAUCACCCCCAUUUCAUAGAUGAGGAAGUUGCUCUGUGAAAGUUAAGUCACGGUUCAAGGUUGCCAGAAGGCAGCUGGAAGGAGCAGAGCUGGGUUUGAAGCGAGAUUCCGACUCUGGAGGACAAGCUCUUAAUCACAACAUGUACAUGUUCCUCGAACUUCCUGGAGCCCUUCAGAGCUCCCUGGGAGAGAUCAGCCCCCAUCGCUCCCUUCUAGGGCCGAGGCUGGGGAAACUGGGACCAGAACAACUCAAGACUCUAUGUUACACAAACCAACCCUGUCCUUCACCAAACCAAUACACGAGCUUCAGAUUAGCUUCUAGGGAUAAACAAACAAACAAACAAACAAACACAAAACAAAAAACCUCUAUUGAUCAAAGUUCUCAAGUACUUCAGCAGCCUUUCAAGAGAAGCGAGGGGACUGGGUCUAUAAGUGAACCCCAAAUUCUGCACUUCUCAUUUUCCUCGUGCCUCUCAAAUACAAAGACAUUUUAAUCCUCAGCGCCACUUCCUAGGGUUGGGGCGAUGACCUUGGCCAUCUCUGGUUCUGGAAAGAAGGUAUGGUACCUCUUGUGUGGUUUGGGGGAAGGAAAAAAGAAUGGGUGGUGAGAUGUGGGUGGUUAGUGAGAUGUGUUCCCAUGGGUGCACAGGGCAGAACUUGGCUUCUGUCAUUAAGUGGUUCCGUGAAGCGGAACCUGACCCACGUGAAGGCCAGGAUUGUCUGCCCUCCCCUUCCUCCCACUGAGAAAACACACACAAGGAUUUCCCUGGGAGUUAAGGUCUCAGGUUCCUAGAUUUGGGCUUUUCUUUCCCUGUAACGGGAGAGAGCGCUUCAUUUCUACUAGGCUGAGGACUCCUUUCUCAUUUAAAAUUCAUAGUUUU
Hippopotamus amphibius kiboko is the source of this 2498-nucleotide long non-coding RNA. RefSeq lists it as uncharacterized. Lineage: Eukaryota; Metazoa; Chordata; Mammalia; Artiodactyla; Hippopotamidae. The record is from RefSeq and is a predicted model, not a curated record. The transcript has 3 exons.